Molecule: long non-coding RNA, 124 nt
Organism: Sander lucioperca (pikeperch)
Lineage: Eukaryota; Metazoa; Chordata; Actinopteri; Perciformes; Percidae
Exons: 3
Source: RefSeq, a predicted model, not a curated record
CAAAUAUUGAUCAAGCCGAGGGGUUAUCCUUUUACCACCUCAAUCAUAGACAUAGUACACAUUCAGGUAUGGGAUACAACUAGGUUCGGGUCACCAACACCUAGCCCGAUCAUUCAUCCAGUGC